GACGAACGCUGGCGGCGUGCUUAACACAUGCAAGUCGAACGAUGAAGCCGGAGCUUGCUCCGGUGGAUUAGUGGCGAACGGGUGAGUAACACGUGAGCAAUCUGCCCUUGACUCUGGGAUAACUGCGGGAAACUGUAGCUAAUACCGGAUACGACACCUUGGGGCAUCCCAGGGUGUGGAAAGAAUUUCGGUCAAGGAUGAGCUCGCGGCCUAUCAGCUAGUUGGUGAGGUAAUGGCUCACCAAGGCGACGACGGGUAGCCGGCCUGAGAGGGUGACCGGCCACACUGGAACUGAGACACGGUCCAGACUCCUACGGGAGGCAGCAGUGGGGAAUAUUGCACAAUGGGCGAAAGCCUGAUGCAGCAACGCCGCGUGAGGGAUGAAGGCCCUCGGGUUGUAAACCCCUUUUAGCAGGGAAGAAGCGAAAGUGACGGUACCUGCAGAAAAAGCACCGGCUAACUACGUGCCAGCAGCCGCAGUAA
Molecule: ribosomal RNA, 483 nt
Filed under: uncultured bacterium
Lineage: Bacteria
Description: partial 16S ribosomal RNA
Rfam family: Bacterial small subunit ribosomal RNA
Source: RNAcentral